This 486-nucleotide ribosomal RNA is filed under the name uncultured bacterium. RNAcentral's name for it is "partial 16S ribosomal RNA". It matches the Rfam family "Bacterial small subunit ribosomal RNA", at positions 30 to 507 of the family's 1533-position model. The record is from RNAcentral.
AUUGAACGCUGGCGGCAUGCCUUACACAUGCAAGUCGAACGGCAGCACGGGUGCUUGCACCUGGUGGCGAGUGGCGAACGGGUGAGUAAUACAUCGGAACAUGUCCUGUAGUGGGGGAUAGCCCGGCGAAAGCCGGAUUAAUACCGCAUACGAUCUACGGAUGAAAGCGGGGGACCUUCGGGCCUCGCGCUAUAGGGUUGGCCGAUGGCUGAUUAGCUAGUUGGUGGGGUAAAGGCCUACCAAGGCGACGAUCAGUAGCUGGUCUGAGAGGACGACCAGCCACACGGGGACUGAGACACGGCCCAGACUCCUGCGGGAGGCAGCAGUGGGGAAUUUUGGACAAUGGGCGAAAGCCUGAUCCAGCAAUGCCGCGUGUGUGAAGAAGGCCUUCGGGUUGUAAAGCACUUUUGUCCGGAAAGAAAUCCUUGGCCCUAAUACGGUCGGGGGAUGACGGUACCGGAAGAAUAAGCACCGGCUAACUACGUG